RNAcentral lists this ribosomal RNA (406 nucleotides) under uncultured bacterium. Its description in RNAcentral is "partial 16S ribosomal RNA". It matches the Rfam family "Bacterial small subunit ribosomal RNA", at positions 30 to 526 of the family's 1533-position model. The record is from RNAcentral.
AUUGAACGCUGGCGGCAGGCCUAACACAUGCAAGUCGAGCGAGCGGCGGACGGGUGAGUAAUGUGUGGGUAUCUUCCCGCUAGAGCGGGAUACAUCCUCUAAAAGGUAGCUAAUACCCCAUAUUCUCGUCUGUAACCAGAUUGGCUUAGCUAGUAGGUGAGGUACUGGCUCAACUAGGCGACGAUCCCUAGCUGGUCUGAGAGGAUGAUCAGCCACACUGGGACUGAGACACGGCCCAGAGUCCUACGGGAGGCAGCAGUGGGGAAGAUUGAACAAUGGGCGAAAGCCGGAUGCAGCCAUGCCGCGUGUAUGAAGAAGGCCCUAGGGUUGUAAAGUACUGUCAGUAGGGAGGCGUUACCUAAAGAAGAAGCACCGGCUAACUCCGUGCCAGCCGCCGCGGUAAUAC